This 216-nucleotide ribosomal RNA is filed under the name Glomeromycotina sp. Its description in RNAcentral is "partial small subunit ribosomal RNA". The stretch from base 40 to 216 matches the Rfam family "Eukaryotic small subunit ribosomal RNA", at positions 686 to 864 of the family's 1831-position model. The record is from RNAcentral. Lineage: Eukaryota; Fungi; Glomeromycota.
GGGUCAGUAGGUUGGUCGUGCCACCGGUACGUACUGGUCUCACUGAUUCCUCCUUCCUGAAGAACCGUAAUGCCAUUAAUUUGGUGUUGCUGGGAAACAGGACUGUUACUUUGAAAAAAUUAGAGUGUUUAAAGCAAGCUAACGCUAGAAUACAUUAGCAUGGAAUAAUGAAAUAGGACGAUCGAUCCUAUUUUGUUGGUUUCUAGGAUUGACGUA